RNAcentral lists this ribosomal RNA (253 nucleotides) under uncultured bacterium. RNAcentral's name for it is "partial 16S ribosomal RNA". It matches the Rfam family "Bacterial small subunit ribosomal RNA", at positions 524 to 776 of the family's 1533-position model. The record is from RNAcentral.
UACGUAGGGCGCAAGCGUUGUCCGGAAUUAUUGGGCGUAAAGAGCUCGUAGGCGGUUUGUCGCGUCGAAUGUGAAAACCCGGGGCUCAACCCCGGGCCUGCAUUCGAUACGGGCAGACUAGAGUUCGGUAGGGGAGUCUGGAAUUCCUGGUGUAGCGGUGAAAUGCGCAGAUAUCAGGAGGAACACCGGUGGCGAAGGCCGGACUCUGGGCCGAUACUGACGCUGAGGAGCGAAAGCGUGGGGAGCAAACAGG